This 73-nucleotide transfer RNA is filed under the name Yimella lutea. RNAcentral describes it as "tRNA-Trp". It matches the Rfam family "tRNA". Rfam says of the family: Transfer RNA (tRNA) molecules are approximately 80 nucleotides in length. Their secondary structure includes four short double-helical elements and three loops (D, anti-codon, and T loops). The record is from RNAcentral. Lineage: Bacteria; Bacillati; Actinomycetota; Actinomycetes; Micrococcales; Dermacoccaceae.
GUGGGUGUAGCUCAACUGGCAGAGCACUGGUCUCCAAAACCAGCGGUUGAAGGUUCGACUCCUUCCAUCCAUG